GAUGAACGCUGGCGGCGUGCCUAAUACAUGCAAGUCGAGCGAACGGACGAGAAGCUUGCUUUUCUGAUGUUAGCGGCGGACGGGUGAGUAACACGUGGAUAACCUACCUAUAAGACUGGGAUAACUUCGGGAAACCGGAGCUAAUACCGGAUAAUAUUUUGAACCGCAUGGUUCAAAAGUGAAAGACGGUCUUGCUGUCACUUAUAGAUGGAUCCGCGCUGCAUUAGCUAGUUGGUAAGGUAACGGCUUACCAAGGCAACGAUGCAUAGCCGACCUGAGAGGCUGAUAGGCCACACGGGAACUGAGACACGGUCAAGACUCCUACGGGAGGCAGCAGUCGGGAAUCUUCCGCAAUGGGCGAAAGCCUGGCGGAGCAACGCCGCGUGAGUGAUGAAGGUCUUCGGAUCGUAAAACUCUGUUAUUAGGGAAGAACAUAUGUGUAAGUAACUGUGCACAUCUUGACGGUAACUAAUCAGAAAGCCACGGCUAACUACGUG
RNAcentral lists this ribosomal RNA (497 nucleotides) under uncultured bacterium. RNAcentral describes it as "partial 16S ribosomal RNA". It matches the Rfam family "Bacterial small subunit ribosomal RNA", at positions 28 to 507 of the family's 1533-position model. The record is from RNAcentral.